UACGUAGGGGGCAAGCGUUGUCCGGAUUUACUGGGCGUAAAGAGCGCGUAGGCGGAGGCUUAAGUGUGGCCUGAAAGCCCCCGGCUCAACCGGGGAAGGUGGCUGCAAACUGGGCUUCUUGAGGGGGAUAGGGGAAAGUGGAAUUCCUGGUGUAGCGGUGAAAUGCGCAGAUAUCAGGAAGAACACCCGUGGCGAAGGCGGCUCUCUGGGACGGUACUGACGCUGAGACGCGAAAGCGUGGGGAGCAAACAGG
Molecule: ribosomal RNA, 253 nt
Filed under: uncultured bacterium
Lineage: Bacteria
Description: partial 16S ribosomal RNA
Rfam family: Bacterial small subunit ribosomal RNA
Source: RNAcentral